GCCCCUUCGGGGACAUUUAAUAAAAUCGAAAUGAUACAAAGAUGAUUAGAAUGACCCCUGCUCAAGAAUAACAUGUACAAAUCGAGAAAUGAUCCAAAAAUUA
Molecule: non-coding RNA, 103 nt
Organism: Solanum tuberosum (potato)
Lineage: Eukaryota; Viridiplantae; Streptophyta; Magnoliopsida; Solanales; Solanaceae
Source: Rfam